ACUUAGAUAGUUUAAUAAAAAUUUUGAUUUGUGAUGUCAAAGAUAUAAGAAAAUCUUAUUUUAGGUC
Molecule: transfer RNA, 67 nt
Filed under: Neoperla ignacsiveci
Lineage: Eukaryota; Metazoa; Arthropoda; Insecta; Plecoptera; Perlidae
Description: tRNA-His
Source: RNAcentral